UUAAGCUUAAGGAAUUUAUUGAGAGGAUACUGGGAAAUCACAGGCUCAAAGGAAAACGUGAAAAAUCAGGACAUGGGAAGGACAGAACCAGGCCAGCUCUGGGGCUCUGGGUAGCAGGACAUUUUGAAUUGUCUUUUGAAGAAACCCUCAUGAGAGCCUCUGCUUUAACAACCUACAGCCCCCCAGGUAUCUCCACUCAAGAUGCAAAUUUCCAGGAGAGGAUCUGAUUAGUGAGCUGGGUCCAAAGCCUACCUCCUAACCAGGGUGGGGUUCUGUGAUUGACAGCUCACCCUAAUCACCCCAAGUCCGGAAGGGCCAUUUCCCCGGAUGAAGGGCUGCUGAGCAGACAAAUACAAACACAAACAGCAAACAAACACCAAAAAACCAAACCAGAUGUCCGCUACAAAGGUUUUCUUUAACAGCAACCUCCAACCUCCACUAAUAUAUUUGAAACAUGAUUCAAUUUUCCAAAGUUCAGUUUAUACACGACUCUUUGUGUAACUAAUCAAAUUUCUCUUUUCAUAGCAGCUGCUGGAAAGCUUAGGGCCCAACUGUGUUUUCCCCAUAGCAACCAUGUUGGAUUUUGACGGUGUCCAUCUUGUCUUUGCCCCUCUCCUGGUUCUAUUGUGUAUUUUUGAUGUUCCUUUUUCUUUCUCUCUAAUUUGUCAUCUUGGUGAUGCUGUGGCUUUUGUUUUUUGUUUUUCUUCCUUCCCUGGAAUGAGGCAGACUAUAAGUGAGCAGAUCAUCUGUGACUCUUUAGGAAUGUGUUAUGGUGUAAAGCAGAGUUCAUCAGCACUGCGAGUUUUACCAUUGGAAGGGCUCAUAGUCUGGAAGCCAACAGUUAGAAAGACAUCGUGGCACGGUAUCCCUGGAGUUCUCCACUUUUAAAGCUUUCCCAGAGUCAUGAGAUGCAAACAAGUUGUCUCAAACUUUUACUGCAUAGCACUCCUGUGUAUAGGGGAAUGCGACCUGACCUUUGGUGAAACAGGCCAGUUUCAUGUGAGAAGGAGAGCAAGAACAAAGAGAAGUUGGCUGAAGCAGCUCGGGGCAGGGCCCUGCUCCAGGGUUAUUUUCCAUGUGACCUCAGCUGAGCUCUCUCUCUCUCUCUGGAGAGACUGCCUGGCCUGGGAGCACCAAGGAAAAUUUGGCAGUGCCUGAGGGAGUUAAAGAGCAGCCAGCAGCAGCAGGUGCCAGGAAUGGGCCGGAAAACUCUGGUGAACUUGCCAGAGUCACAUAGCAGCUUCAGUUUGGGUUUGGAGAGGCAAGGCUGGGGUUGGAGAGAAAGAUGGGAGGUCCGCUUGCUACCCUCAAAAGAACCCCAGCUCCAUCCUCCAAGCUCCGUGAUAAGCUGGCUUUUCCUGCCUGAGCUCAGAGGCUAGGGGAGCUAGAGGGUGGUGUUCUCAUCAAGGAUCUCCUGCUUGCGAAGAUCAGAAGCCCACUCAGGAGCUCAAACAGAAGACAAUUGUUUGUAAGGCUAUAACAGGCAGUCCCGCAGAUAUUCAGUGAGGGAUCACAAGCCUCUUCGGGGCUGGGACAGAAGAUUCAGCAACUGUGUCAAUCCUCUCCAGCCCUCAGGGGCCCUCAGAGAGCUCUCUUACUUUGGCUUCUCUCUGCUCACUCUUCUUGCAUGUGGCCCAACAAGAUGGCAGCCUCAACUGUACAAGCAGCCCCAACCAGCUCUCUGAGAACACACAGUUCACUGUCUCUGUGUCCUUGUUCAAACUCCCUGAUGGGGCCAGCUCGUCUAUUCGUACUGAGCAUGUGGAUUGACUACGCCUUCCCCUUGUCCAGCCAGCCAUGGCCAGGAGGAACAGGUCUUCUGGAAGGGCUCAGUAAAUGUUAACUUCCCUGGAGGGUGUCGAUGCUGGCUUUUCCUCUAGUCGAAGAGCCACUGAGAGGAUCCUCAAGACCCUUAGGGCCCAGAAGGGCUCUUGUCAGGAGAGCUGUGGAAGGAAUUCCUGCACCCCAGGGCCACUGAGCCCAAUGACUCUGAGGACAGUGAGGUGUGUUCUGGUUGCUGCAGGACAGCAACGCCUGUGACUUCCGAUGAAAUACUCACUUUUUGCAAGUUGACACCUAUAUCCUUUCGCUUAGAGAACUCCUCAGAGUGUCACUCUCUUGCGAUAAAGCUAUCCAAGUUCAAGCUAUCCAAGUUCAAGGAGCCGUUUGAGGUUAUUCAAAACUGACCUCACCAUCAAAGUCCUACUUCGAGAUGCAAAAAGUUAUCUACCAGCCAGUUUUACACCCCCUUGGGCACAACAGGCUUGAGGUCACCCUCCCUGCUUUUGCUCAGGCUGUUCCCCUGGAAUGCCCUGACAGGUGACCCUCCCCAGUCACUACCUGACUGAAUUCUCCCCUUCCCUAAAGCCUUACCCCAAACCCACCUCCAGGAAGGCCUCCCUGGCUCCACUGAGUCAGCGCCUACCCUCUCCUCCCCUUCUCCCGCCUCCUCAGCGAUGUCUUGGUACACACCACAUCUGACCACCUCCAAGUUGCUUGUGCCUGUGUUCUUCUCUCUAGCCUGGCUGUUGCAUGAGGACAUCCCUAUGUCCCCAUUAGAGCUUGGCUAGGGCCUGGCUCAGAGUAGAUGGGGCUGACGUGUGGGCUGCCACCAGAGAGCUCAAUUCUGGUCACACAGAAGCACUUUUGACCUUUCCAACAGCCCCUGGAACUGACCAGGCUCCAGUGGCCCCUAGGUCACCCUGACCCUUCCAGACCUCUCUGCCAGCCAUGGAAUCUCCGCCUCCCUAAAGACCUUAGCCCCAUUCUCACUCCUUCAUCUCACAAUGGCCACUUCUGUUACGGAGGGACCAUUGCCCUCCAUGGUGCACUUUCAGAACAGACAGAGCCUUCACACGGACACCCUUAGGGGUUACAGCAUUCCUGCAGGACAGACUGUCCUACCCACUGCAGCUCUGCAGGAGACGGGCCCCCAACCCUGGGGUCCUAGCGUGCCCUCUCCCCAACACACGCUUCUCUCCUCUCCCCUGAAAAAUAAGGGCCAGUGGUUUCAGCUCCCAGGUUUGCCAUCUUUCUAAUCCGAGGAAACCAAACUACUUUUUGUCUCCCUGCGAGGCCAGGCCAGUGGUCAGGAUGGACGGGAGGCAGAGCAGAGAGAGGGAGGUCUGCCAGUAAGUGGAGAGCUGAGGCCCUGGACUGCUCUCCCACAGGAAACCACUGACUGGAAACUCUGAGGUGCUCACAGGCAGCUCCCAGCAGCAGGGCUCAGCGCAUUAUCGUGUGAAUCCCAAAGCACCUCAAAGCUGGCUGGCAAGACCUUCCAGGGGGAGGGACGGGCUUGAGCAGAGGCACCGAGGGGCCUGGGCAACCUAGUGUGGCAAGGCCUGUGGUGCCCACGGAGGAAUAAAACUGGUUGGGGGAUAACAUUCAGCAUCUUGACACACUUGAUGUUGGAUAUCGGAACUUGAGUUUCCAAUAACCCAAAACGGUUCCUUGAGCUUGAACAGCUUCUAUCUUGACACUCUCGGGAAAGCAGUUCCUGUUGGGGAGGGCAUUAUCCUGGAGGGCGGUGGUGGGGUCUUUGUGCUCCAUCCUGUGCUGUCUCACUACUGAAGGUGGAACCUGCCUGCUCACCUCUCAGAACGUGCUGAGCAUCAGAGGGGCGGCAUCGUGUGACACGGUUGGUAUAUCCACUUUGCAGAUGGCUCGUCAUUAGCACGUGGGUUACAGUCACACCCAGUCAUGAGAAGCCUCCUGAUUUUGCACAAAGUAGGUGUAGACUCUUUCGUCCAGGAAUUUAAGAGAUUAUGUAAUUUUUCUUGGUUUUGUCUGCAAGGCUUUUUUUUCCUCUGUGACUCAGUAUUUGGAUGGCUCUCCCUGAGGGAAGCCAUGAGGGUGAGAUGUAAGAAUCCAGGGCUGGUGCUGGGCUCAGGAUAGGGGAGCUGCCCCCAACACCCAUGGGAGCCAGAGGCCUGCACCCAGGACUCGCCCGCAUGUCCCUCAGGGGCAAACUGCAGCACAUGCCCUCUUUCCCUCGGGGAGACUUGGAAGAAGAAAGGUCUGGCUCCCCAACAUCAGGCCCAGAGCUCCCUCCUCUGUGAAGCCUGCAUAGCCAGGAGCGGGGAGAAAGGAGAGGGAAUGCUCUGGCAAUCUGCUGUCUUGUCCCUUCCCCUCAAGGAGCUGUUGUGGUGAGCAGCUGUCCUCUCAGCCUUCUCCUGGGAAACUCUCCAUCUCGUCCGUGAGCCCGAGGCUGGGUGGGCUUGGGGUCAACCUCUGCAUCUGCGUGUUUUCUUCUCUUAGCAGUUGAUUCCUUCUCUCCCUCUUGGCUUAUUUUUUCCUUCUGUUGCUUCAGGCUUCUUCUAGGUCAGCAGCUGUCUGUCCUCUUUCACCCAUUCCUCAUGCCAACUCAAACCAGCCUCUCGCCCCUUUGCACUUCUUGUCACAUCUUCAUGUGAUUUUACCAGCAAAUCUCUCUCCUUUCUUCUCUCUGACCUGGGCCUUCCCCUCCCCCUCGUCGC
This is a long non-coding RNA of Equus asinus (donkey), 4478 nucleotides long. The record is from Ensembl. NCBI's taxonomy places the organism in Eukaryota, Metazoa, Chordata, Mammalia, Perissodactyla, Equidae.